Molecule: ribosomal RNA, 462 nt
Filed under: uncultured Klebsiella sp.
Lineage: Bacteria; Pseudomonadati; Pseudomonadota; Gammaproteobacteria; Enterobacterales; Enterobacteriaceae
Description: bacterial SSU rRNA
Rfam family: Bacterial small subunit ribosomal RNA
Source: RNAcentral
CCUACGGGUGGCUGCAGUGGGGAAUAUUGCACAAUGGGCGCAAGCCUGAUGCAGCCAUGCCGCGUGUGUGAAGAAGGCCUUCGGGUUGUAAAGCACUUUCAGCGGGGAGGAAGGCGGUGAGGUUAAUAACCUCAUCGAUUGACGUUACCCGCAGAAGAAGCACCGGCUAACUCCGUGCCAGCAGCCGCGGUAAUACGGAGGGUGCAAGCGUUAAUCGGAAUUACUGGGCGUAAAGCGCACGCAGGCGGUCUGUCAAGUCGGAUGUGAAAUCCCCGGGCUCAACCUGGGAACUGCAUUCGAAACUGGCAGGCUAGAGUCUUGUAGAGGGGGGUAGAAUUCCAGAUGUAGCGGUGAAAUGCGUGGAGAUCUGGAGGAAUACCGGUGGCGAAGGCGGCCCCCUGGACAAAGACUGACGCUCAGGUGCGAAAGCGUGGGGAGCAAACAGGAUAGAUCCCAGUAGUC